AUUGAACGCUGGCGGCAUGCCUUACACAUGCAAGUCGAACGGUAACAGGUCUUCGGAUGCUGACGAGUGGCGAACGGGUGAGUAAUACAUCGGAACGUGCCUAGUAGUGGGGGAUAACUACUCGAAAGAGUGGCUAAUACCGCAUACGACCUGAGGGUGAAAGGGGGGGAUCGCAAGACCUCUCGCUAUUGGAGCGGCCGAUAUCAGAUUAGCUAGUUGGUGGGGUAAAGGCCUACCAAGGCAACGAUCUGUAGUUGGUCUGAGAGGACGACCAGGCGCACUGGGACUGAGACACGGCCCAGACUCCUACGGGAGGCAGCAGUGGGGAAUUUUGGACAAUGGGCGCAAGCCUGAUCCAGCAAUGCCGCGUGCAGGAAGAAGGCCUUCGGGUUGUAAACUGCUUUUGUCAGGGAAGAAAUCUUCUGGGCUAAUACCCCGGGAGGAUGACGGUACCUGAAGAAUAAGCACCGGCUAACUACGUGCCAGCCGCCGCAGUAA
Molecule: ribosomal RNA, 498 nt
Filed under: uncultured bacterium
Lineage: Bacteria
Description: partial 16S ribosomal RNA
Rfam family: Bacterial small subunit ribosomal RNA
Source: RNAcentral